GGUUUCUCACAGCAGACGACAGGCUAGCAAGCACGUUGCACUGUUCUCUCCGCAAUUUUCUUCUCUAAACCAGUGAAAUCGAACGCUAACAGGAUUUUAAGGUUGGUUUGCGAAUCCUUAUCUAUUGUACUAUGGAUUCAUGUUGGUGUCUUGUCGAUAUUAAUAUUUCGGUAAAAACAACGUAGUUAAUUUCCAGCCUUCGCUUAGCCGACUGUAUAUUUUCAAGAUGGCGGCGUAGUCGUAUAUAUUGCUAUCCGUAUUUAGCAGCCAUAUGCUUGUUUAUCAGGAAACCAAUGUUUGUUAGUCGAUAGAGACGGUCGGUUGAUAAGGUUGUCAUAUAGGUAUCGGACAUUUAAUGACGGGAAGUACACGGAACAAUUGUCAAAAAUUUUAGAAAUUGGUCGUUUUAAAAAAUUAAUUUACGAAAUAUUGCCUAAUAACCAACACGAGCAUGUAGGUUGAAUGACAAGGUUCAGAACGACCUACCAGAACCAAUGUGUUCUCUUUACUUUUUCUACUGCUGAUAGGGUACUUCCACUUAAUAUGGUUUUUAUCAUUAACCUUAUAUUACUUUAAAAAAUUAAGCCUAGAACCAUUUAGCGGAUAGAUUAAAUUAACCAAACUUUGAUUUAUAAAAGCGAACUCUUAUUAAUUAGCGAGUUAUUUGACACUAUAAUAUGCUUUCGUCGCUCAUUUUUCGGACCGAGUCGGGAAUUACGUUUAGACGCUUGGUGGCGCUGUGCAAUCGCAUAUUGACCGCAGACUUUCAACAUAGUCAGCUGCCGAACGGCAGCUCUUUGAGGUAGAUCGAACUAAGCUCUUCGGAACGAUUGGGCCUUAUCGGUCCGUUUUAUCUCUUAUGCUGAGUUUAUCUCAUGGCGAAACGCAAAAAAGCGAACGGCGGCGCCAAGUAUUUACGACAGAUGGAUGUUUAUGCAGGCGUCUAUUAAAAAAUGGACAGAGACGGGAAGGGGCAUCCGGUUCGGCAAAUUCAAAUCUCGAGCCUGAACGAGAGCAUUAUGUGCGCCCUCUGUGGGGGGUAUCUGAUUAACGCAACUUCAAUUACCGAGUGCCAUCAUUCUUUUUGCCGGUCGUGUAUUAUGAGAUUCGUGGAGACUAGUCGUAUUUGCCCUAUUUGCGACGUUAAAUUACACGAGACCAGGCCAUGGGAAAGUCUGAGAUUGGAUUUAACAUUGCAAAAAAUCGUCUUCCAGCUUGUGCCUGGCCUGGCAACAAGAGAAUUUCUUCAAAGGCGGAGAUUUCAACGCAUCCAAAAGAGUUGUGGAAGAGAUGAAGAGGCGGACGAAGAGGAAAUUCCUCAAAUGUCUAUCUGUUUGGAAUGUAAAGAAAAUAAUCAGACUCUCUAUGAUUACAAACGUUACUUGAAAUGCCCUGUUACAAUGACGAUUGAACAGCUAAAAAAGUUCAUAAGGAGGAAAUUCACAUUGAAUGACAAGAUAGAUAUUGACAUCUUUCACGCGUUUGAAGAACCAUUAGUCGACGCGAAUACAAUACUCGAUUGUGCGGUUAUUUUUGGAUGGACAGGGGUGGAACCUUUUCAUCUUAACUUUACGGUGGACGAAAUAGAAAAGGACACUGCACAGCCCCUUCCCCUCUCUCUUCCGGUUACGCCCAAGAACGCACGCAAAACGGCUAGUAAAAGAAAGGCAUCGCCCGAAGCCUCCCGUCGAAAAAAGAGUGAAGAAGGCGAAAAGAAAUCGAAUUGCCACUCGGAUGCUCAGCCUACUUCAAAGACACCGUCACAAUCGGUAUCGCCACCUAUUGACGAGAUGGAUGAAGAGAUGGAGAACUCAUCAAAGGAUCUUAAAAAGUCAAAAACGGAUUAUACUAUAAGAGCUAUCAUGUCCGACGAAAUUCGUCCUCAGCGAAGAGCGGCAAAACGGCUGUCAGCAGCUGAAAAAUCUAAAGAACCCUCAGGGUCAAAGGUUAAUAAAUUAGCAGAAACCUUGCGGCUGAGGGAAGAGAAAUCUUUGGCAGAAGCCACCUCAAAUUUAGAAGAGGAAAUCAAAAAAGCUCUUCCGAAUUCUGCCAGAGAAUCAUCUUUGACAGCUUCCAUUGCAAGCUCAAACAAAAAAUCCAAUCAUCCCAAAAAAAUUGUAGGCCUGUUAAAUUAUCAUCGCCAAAAACAAAAGGAAGAAAAAUUAACGUCUCAUCUCUCUAUUCCUACUGUCUCCUGUCGACCUCCCGCUAAGCAAAACUCAUUAAUUAUUAAAAUUAAAUUGCCAUCUAAAGAUGGAGAUAAACACGAUUACCGGUGUAAGCACAAAAGGAAAGACUUGACGGUAAUUAGGUCAGCUGAUUCGACCGCUGCCUCAAGUCCUGUUAGAUCACCAGCAAGGUCACCAAAGUAUGCAACAUCGCCGCCAAGUGCCCUAGUUUCAACUGAUCCAACACAGGUCUAUUCCUUCGACGCCCACAAUAAUAGCUGAUUUAUGAAAACUAAUUGUUAAGGAUUAAUAUCGAAAGAAGAUUCAUUCACUCAUUCGCUCUCAUUUCUCAUCAACUCUCAUAUGCUCUCUUCACAUUCGCUCAAUCUCUCAUUUUCUCUCCUAUUAUCUCAGCUUCUUCUCAUUCUAUGUGACACAAAUAAGGAUAUACGAACUACAAUAUUUAUUUAUACAUAUAUGUAUAUAUGUAUCCCGGUUAACAGGCCUACAUCAUGUGCUUCAUGGCGGUAAUUUGAGAUAAUUAUACAGAUAUACUUUAUCUUCAAUGGAAUGAUACGGAUAUGCUUUUAAAAUUUAACUAUAUUUUUUCGUAUGAUAUAUUUUAAUGAAAUUAAAAAAUUAGUUUGUCAGAGAGUUUUUUCCUUCUGUUCAAUUCUUUAAAUCAUGUUACGUAUGAAACAUACGAAGAACUUUUACAUUCUUUCCUGUAAAGAGAUAAGAAACAAAAGGGAUAUUCAUAAGAUAUCAUGUAUAUUUUACGUAUAUGUACACUUACUGUAUAUAAAAUAUACUCUAUGAGUGUAUAUGUAUAAGAAUACGUGAAUGUAUGAAUAUAUAUAUAUAUAUAUAUAUAUAUAUAUAUAUAUAUAUACAGUAUAUAUAUAUGUGUGUACGUGGUUUGUCCCGGAAGAAAAAAGGUGUUGUCAAACAAAUGUCAAAUUUAUUGAUAGAAAUAAACUUGGCACUAUUGGCCGGAUAUAAAAAAUUCGUUAUCACUUAUAUAUUAGAAAAAAACAGGCAAAACUUUGAAUUAUAUGUAAUUACAAACAAUCUGACAUUUCAAUUAUAUUACAUUUUUACAAGGGAAGCAGUUCACUUGUUACAGAAUAUACAUAAUGGAAUAACACAGGGAAUUUGUAGCCUUAUUUGUUUUUUAGAUAGCUUUUUAUACAAUUACAUAUGUAUAUAAAAACGCAUAUAUCGUAAUUUAUUUAUAAAUAGAAACCUGAGAAAGAACUAGAUAUCUUGAUUGGAAUGAGCAAUAGAAAG
RNAcentral lists this unclassified non-coding RNA (3458 nucleotides) under Dimorphilus gyrociliatus. Its description in RNAcentral is "rING-type domain-containing protein". The record is from RNAcentral. Lineage: Eukaryota; Metazoa; Annelida; Polychaeta; Dinophilidae.